AAGGCUUGACAUGAACCGGAAACACCUGGAAACAGGUGCCCCGCUUGCGGUCGGUUUACAGGUGGUGCAUGGUUGUCGUCAGCUCGUGUCGUGAGAUGUUGGGUUAAGUCCCGCAACGAGCGCAACCCUCGUUCCAUGUUGCCAGCGCGUAAAGGCGGGGACUCAUGGGAGACUGCCGGGGUCAACUCGGAGGAAGGUGGGGACGACGUCAAAUCAUCAUGCCCCUUAUGUCUUGGGCUUCACGCAUGCUACAAUGGCCGGUACAAUGGGUUGCGAUACUGUGAGGUGGAGCUAAUCCCAAAAAGCCGGUCUCAGUUCGGAUUGGGGUCUGCAACUCGACCCCAUGAAGUCGGAGUCGCUAGUAAUCGCAGAUCAGCAACGCUGCGGUGAAUACGUUCCC
Molecule: ribosomal RNA, 400 nt
Filed under: uncultured bacterium
Lineage: Bacteria
Description: bacterial SSU rRNA
Rfam family: Bacterial small subunit ribosomal RNA
Source: RNAcentral